This 2244-nucleotide long non-coding RNA is filed under the name Lactuca sativa (garden lettuce). RNAcentral describes it as "long non-coding RNA (LSAT_LNC000049)". The record is from RNAcentral. Lineage: Eukaryota; Viridiplantae; Streptophyta; Magnoliopsida; Asterales; Asteraceae.
AACAUAGUCAUAAAAAGUGAGAAGCUGUACGAUCACGCAUUUGCCUUGCCACAAUCCUCUGAUGUACCUUGAAACAAUAAACUGAAACGGUAAGCCCGAAAGCUUAGUGAGUUACCCCCAAAAUACCGAUACACAUACAAUCCACAUAACCAUGUCAACAAUAUUAUAACAUACAAACUGAACUAGCAUGCAAUGGGUCCACAACUUUACGAGCUGGAUUACCCAUGGGCCUUCAGUACGAGUCUGGAAUGCCUAUCGGGCCCUCAGCUCGUAUCUGGAAUGCCAUCGAGCCCUCAGUACGAGUCCGGAAUGCCUACCGGGCCCUCAACUUGUAUCUGGAAUGCUCUCGAGUCCUUAGUAUGAGUCUGGAAUGCCUUGCCUGGCCCUCAGCUCAUAUCUAGAAUACUCUAGGGUUUGUUGGCUACCGCAAGGAAGCAAAACAACCUCAACCCAUCCCACAUAACAUGUAACAUAUAACAUAACUACUGAUCAUGCAAUAAUCAUAUAACAUCAUAAGUAGUCCUACAGAUCUACCUAACUAGAAUAACCACUAACAUGCAACACUAACUCAUACUCAACAUCUAACACUGCUAGGAUAACAUAUCCAAUGGGCCAACCUUGGUGCAUUAGACCCCUUAGUAUAGUGAGGAUAACUCACCUGAUACUGCUGUAGUCCCACGGAUAUAACUCCAGCUGCUGGUUGACAGACUCUCGAACUGCUAACAUCAAACAAAGCCCAAUUAAUAAUUUGGUUCCAAGCCCAAGUCCAAAUCACACUCCAAAGCCCAAAAGUCAAGUAAUGGGCCAAAGCCCAACAUAUGGCCCAAUUUUCCAAAUUGGGCCCAGACCUCUACAUGGUCUUUCCUUAAGGCCCAUCCAAUUAUUCCAAUCCAAUUCCCAUGGCCCAAUCAUCACAUAAUCAUAAAGGUCCAAUUAUGGCCCAUCUAUGGCCCAAUUUUCCAAAUUGGGCCCAAGUCCUCACAUGGGCCUUAUCCUAAGCCCAUCUAAUCAUUUUGGUCGAUUAACUUGUUCUUGGGUAGCCCAUCAAUAGUUCAAUUGCCACAGCUUAAUAUGAAGGCCCAACUCAAGGCCCGAGUGAGAUUAGGCCUUUCACAUGAAAUGAUGAUUAGGGUUAAGUGUUUCUUACUUAACCCCGAAAGGACUUAAUCCAUUAAGUCUAUUAUUGUUAAGUUAGUUUGCCAAUGCUUUUUAAGGUUUAAUAAUUAAUUCUCGUGUGUGUCUCGAACGAUUCAAACAAUUAGAGUUUUAUGCCGGUAGGGUUUUUUCCAAACCCUAAUUACGGUUUACCAACCCAAUACUAGCCCAUUAGUCCAUUGGUUGAGCUUCUAUGUCACUUUGGGCCUUAUUGGGCCCAUUAGGGUUUUAUUAGGUCCAUUGGGGUGUCCUUGGGCCCACUAGGGUUUAUUUUGGCCCAUUAGGGUUUAGUAGUCAAUUAUCCAAACAACCAAACAAGGCACACCGCCACUCGACACGGCGGCUGGUGGUGGUUUGAGCUUUUCUUUUCAUUAUAUCCACUAUAUUACAGUUUUACAAUGCAAUAUCAAAAGCACACACACUGAGCUACACCCACACAACAAUAAGAUUACACACACACAUAUCCAUGGCGGUCCUUGAGGCGACAGCCACCAUGGCUGGUGGCCAUGGUGGGUCUUUUCUUCAAUAUAUGGCAGUAACAACUCGCAAGGCGUGCGAUGCAACAGUAAACACACACAAGGACCCCGGAACCGCUACACCCCCCCACCAAACAGCUCUUAUCGGUCUUUUAGGGAAAACGGAGCAGAAACGAUAGCGAGUCAUGGCGGUAGCAGCGACGACCGACGGNAACUUCUUUUGGUUCUGGUCUAGUAGCUACAACAGGAAAGGUGGUGACGCAUCUCGGUGGUGAUAGAUCUCAACCAAACGGAUGGAGAAAGAGGAGGAGAAGAAAAAGGAUGACAGAGAGGUGACAGCAGCGCACCCAGCUUCGUCGGGGAGUUCUCGUUAUCGACCGGAGCGGCGGUGGCACUUGGACUUCCACAGAAAAGGUGCAACGGCUGCGAGAGGUGAAAAUCCGGCGACACCCGAAGGUCACCCGCAACCCCCAUCGGUCUUCACUUGCGUUGGCAGCAUCGGCAGCGGCAUCAGACUCGACGGAGGGGGAUAGAGAGGUUGAGAUGAUGGCGGCCGGAGGAGAAGAGAAGGUGGGGUGUCGGCUGAAGUGAGUGCCCGAUUUUAUUAGGGUUU